This is an RNA transcript of Strigops habroptila (Kakapo), 3760 nucleotides long. It is a transcript of the gene named two pore calcium channel protein 2-like, with no coding region annotated. The transcript has 20 exons. The record is from RefSeq and is a predicted model, not a curated record. NCBI's taxonomy places the organism in Eukaryota, Metazoa, Chordata, Aves, Psittaciformes, Psittacidae.
GGAAUUCAUUAGCGAUGGGAAGGAGGAAUGCACUACAGCCUUGGGCAAUUCCUUGCCCAAAGCACUAGAAGAAAUACAGAGUCCAAAGCACAAGCAGCCUUCAUUUAAUUUGCUCAUUCACCCUACCAACGCGCGCAGCCGACUGUCCCCGCAGGUUUUACUUCCCAUUUGUACUUCCAUAACGAGAUCUGUCACUCAGUACCAUUCCUCACUCGUCACAAGCGCCCGUGAGGAACGUUUUCAGGGAAACAAACACAUCCAGGCACCCCACGUGGUGGUUUUCGGCAGUUUAAUGCCUCAGCAGCACCCCUUGGCGAGGGCAGAGCAGCAGACUCGGAGCAAGGCAAACACAGUGUCCUUUGAAACAGGGAAAUGCCUUUGGCAGCGGCGUUCCUACAUCCUCGGCAGCCUGAGGCAUUCAGGAUCUUGUCUUCCCAGGCCCCGGUAUUCCGUGGAUGCUGUCCUUUCCCAGCAGCGCUUCCAUGUGGUUUUCCCUCCGGCAUCAGCGUGGGGUGAACCCGGUUCUCUCAAGCCGCAUCCGCCGCGCCGAGGCUGCUGCGGAGACCCCCGGAGCGCCGCGCUGACCUCCAGCCCCGCUCCAGAGCGCGGGGGGCGGCCGGGUCCGUGCUCCGGGGGCUCGGCGCGGCUCAGGCCGCCUCCAGCUGCUCCUGCGCGGCGGCGAGGCGGCGCUGCAGCCAGCGCUGGCGCCAGCGCAGGAAGCGGCGGCGGGCGCGCCCCGCCUGCCACCCCACCAGCACCCCGGCCGCGAACGCGGCCAGCAGCGCCCAGCGCACGGCCCGCGGCCGCAGCGCCUCCAGAGCCAUCCCCGAGCCCGCUCCCGGCCCCGCACCGGCUCCGCCUCCCGCUUCCGCCGGGGCCGGGGCGGGCCCGUUAAAGGCGGCGGGGAGGGGGCGCACUGAUUGCCGCGCCAUGGCGGAGGCAGCCUCGCAGGAUCUGCUGCUGGCAGCAGCGUUUGUGUCCGAUGCUCAGUACAACAGAAAUAUCCCGUUUAAGACCUCCCCGGAGGCGGUCAGGCUUUAUUACCUCUAUAACCACUGGAUUAUGCGAACAGCCACCUACUUCUUCAUCUUCCUCAACCUGUCCCUUGCAUUGUUUGAAGAACCUGCUGUGUAUCCACUCCCCUUCCUGGUCACUUCCGUGGUCGAGGUGUUGUGCCUUCUGGUGUUCUUUGGCCGACUGACCCAUUUUGCAAAGGUCACCCCUCGCAAUGUGUUCUGGAAGGACACCAAGAACAUCUGCAUCAUGGUUGCGAUCCUGUUAUCCCUGACAGACUUGGCCAUAUAUGGGAUCCUCAGAAUAUACAACGUGAGGAGCAUUCGAUGGUCAAGAAUCGUGAGGCCCAUCUUCCUGAUCAACUUUGCAGAGAGCCGCCAGAUCCGGAGAGCCUUCCGCAGCAUCCGCAACACGCUGCCAGAGAUCACCUACGUCUUCCUGCUAUUCAUGUUUAGCCUUCUCAUGUUCUCCCUCAUGGCCUUGAAGCUGUUUGGUGAGAGGAAUCUCCAGACAGCAGAAGGCUUGCCAUACUUCAGAAACUACCUAGAAAUUGUGUUUGACCUCUAUGUACUGGUGACAACAGCGAACAGCCCGGAUGUCAUGAUGCCAGCAUUUGACUUCAGCUCAUGGUAUGCCCUGUUCUUCAUUGCCUUUGUCAUCGUCAACACUUACAUCUUCAUGUCUCUCUUCCUGGCUGUUGUGUACAACAACUACAAAAAGCACCUGAAGAAUGAGAUCCGAAAGCUCGCUUACAUGAAGCGCCGCAAGAUGAUAGAGGCCUUCAACCUGCUGAAGGAAGAGGAGGGAGCACAGUUUGUGGUCAGAGAAGCCCGUUGGAAGCAGCUUGUCAAGCUGGUGGCUCCUGAUACCAGCAACUCCCACCGGGAGCUGCUGCUGCACAUCUCGGAUGAUGAGCAGAAGGGUUUCAUAGACAAGAAAUCCUUCGUACAACUGGCAGAUCUGCUCAACAUCCAGGUGAUCACCCUGAAAAUCCGCAGCCACCCUCUGGGGCAGUGGGUGCCCCGCAUGUACCAGUCAGCGGUGAGCCGGUUCCUGCGCAGCAUGGUCAGGCACAGGGGAUUUGUUUGGACUUACGAUGUGAUCAUUCUCAUAAAUGCCAUCUUCAUUGCUCUGGAUGAGGAAACCCCUUAUAUUUCUUAUGCUGAGUGGGUCUUCCUUGCUCUGUAUAUAAUUGAGAUACUCUUGAAAGUGUACACUUACGAACCAAGGGCGUUCUUCGGCAAAAACCAGUUCUGGAACUGGUUUGAUACUCUCAUCAUCUUUGCUGCCUUGACUGCAACGAUACUCAAUACCACCCUCAAAUCGACCACAAAGUACAACAGCCAGCAGAUCCUGGACAUUGUCUUCAUCUUAAGGGUCCUCAGGCUAAUCAGGAUUGUUGACAGCAUUCAAAGGUUCCGGGUCAUCAUGAACACGCUGAUAAACAUCGUACCAACAAUGCUGACAUUUGGUGGGCUGACUCUGGUUGUGUACUGUGUAUUUGCUAUCAUUGGCAUGGAGUUAUUCCAUGGGAAAAUCCAGUACUUCCCUGCAAACUCGAAUGCUCCUCAUGCCCUGGAAUGUGGGAAUCCAGCUCUCAAGGAUUCUCUGUUUGCCCGGGGGAAGUACUGCAAGAACAACUUCAACAACUUUGCUUCGUCCUUCAUCGUCCUGAUGGAGCUCACUGUGGUCAACCAGUGGCACGUCUUUGCCAAUGGCUUUGCCAACGUGACAGUUCAGCCUGCAAAGCUGUAUUUCAUUGCCUUCCACAUUGUGAUGGUGAUAAUCAUUGUCAACAUCUUUGUGUCCUUCAUUUUGGAAGCUUUCUUUGUGGAGUACUCCCUCGAGAAGAGUGAAGUCGAAACAGCCAUUGAACAGAAAAUCCAGGAGCUGGGAAUGGGAGUUCAAGAGGAUGAGCUCCAGGAUGAACAGCUCCUUGAGAACAUGGAGAGCUCCGAGCACGACCUCGAGGGGGACGGUGGAGCAAAGCCACCAUCCAAAGGGCUGGUGUUCAAAAUUGCCUCCAAACCAACUUCUUCUCUCUUCCACCUCAGCCCUUCUGUGCACACUUGUCUUCUUGCCUGGUCUCUGAAGAUGCUGCCUUGGUGGUGGAGGUCCUGCUGCUCCUGAGAAGUCUGUUUUCUUUCCUCCCUCCUGCACAUGCUUUGCCUUCCUCUUGGCUUGGAUCACGGGGGUACAGGACAGUUGAUGCUCUGCUCCAGCGCAUGUUUGAGGCAGAGAUACCCCUUGAGGAUGAAGGCCCAUCAUUUGAGGAGAUCCUGAACUUGUCCCCUACUGCCCCUGUUCCCAGCCACCCCACUUCAGAGAGCGCAGCGUGACAGGGACCAGCCGUGGCAGUCGGUGAGGAGGAGUUAAUCCCCAGCUGCCUGGACCUUGAGCAUGUUCCCUGGCUGCUCACCUCCAGCCACAACGUGUGUGGGGACCAGAUCGUGCAGCAGAGGGGGCAGCUGGUGCCCAAAGUGGCUUCAUUGUGUAAAGGAGCUUUAUCUCGCAGCAAGUCUCAUGUAUAUGUUGAAACUGGAACUACCCUCGUGGGAAAGCAGAGGGGAGAGUUGGUGUAUGGACUGUGCCAGUCACUGAUGGUGCCAUAUUCAGUAUGUUAUGAAAUACCUACUCCUUGUAACUGGACUUUUGUAUUACAGCACUUUUAUACCCGCGUAUGGACCAGUGUAGCUGAAUCCAGCAGCGCUGUUGUACAUUAAAUUCAGCAGUAUGGAAAAAACAA